UAAACGGACCAUCGAGUAUCCAUUGGAGGGCAAGUCUGGUGCCAGCAGCUGCGGUAAUACCAGCUCCAAUAGCGUAUAUUAAAGUUGUUGCAGUUAAAAAGCUCGUAGUUGGACUUGUGUGCGCUGUCCGCGGGUGGCCUGCGCCCAAAAGGGCGUUUCGGUUCGGCCCCGGUGGCGCCUUGAAAUCUGCAGCUGGGGGGACGUUGGCCUUAACUGGUCGGCGACCGCACGCCGGCUGCUCGGUUACUGUGAGAAAAUUAGAGUGUUCAAGGCAGGCAUUGGGUGCAAUUGAAUACAUUAGCAUGGAAUAAUAAAAUAUGGCUCCUGCCGUAUUUUGUUGGUUUUGACUGGUGGGAGUAAUGAUUGAUAGGGACGGUUGGGGGUGCUAGUAUUGAGCGGCCAGAGGUGAAAUUCAUGGAUUCGCUCAAGACUAACUUAUGCGAAAGCAUUCACCAAGGACGUCCUCUUUAAUCAAGAACGAAAGUUGGGGGAUCGAAGACGAUCAGAUACCGUCGUAGUCUCAACCAUAAACUAUGUCGACUUGGGAUCGGCGGUAGUUUUUUCAUUAAGACACUGUCGGGACCACGGGAGAAAUCAAAGUGUCUGGACUCUGGGGGAAGUAUGGUCGCAAGGCUGAAACUUGAAGGAAUUGACGGAAGGGCACCACCAGGAGUGGAGCCUGCGGCUUAAUUUGACCCAACACGGGGAAACUUACCAGGUCCAGAGAUGUAGAGGAUUGACAGAUUGAAGCUCUUUCUUGAUCACUUCGGUGGUGGUGCAUGGCCGUUCUUAGUUGGUGGAGUGAUUUGCCUGGUUAAUUCCGUUAACGAACGAGACCUCAGCCUGCUAGUGUAGUCGGCUGGAUUGCCUUUGGCGAUCCGUGAUUUCGACUUCUUAGAGGGACAAUCGACGCGCAGUCGAUGGAAGUUUGAGGCAAUAACAGGUCUGUGAUGCCCUUAGAUGUUCUGGGCCGCACGCGCGCUACACUGCUGGGCUCAGCGAGUUUUACUUGGCCGAGAGGCCCGGUUAAUCUUGUGAAAUCCCAGCGUGCUUGGGCUCGCCUCCUGCAACUGGAGGCGCCAACGAGGAAUUCCUAGUAGACGCAGGUCAUCAACCUGCAUCGAUUACGUCCCAGCCCUUUGUACACACCGCCCGUCGUUCCAUAAGAGUGAGGCAUCCGGUGAAUUCUCGGGAGAGCCUGGGCGUGGCCAGCAAUGGUCUGCUCGGGUUUUGAACUUGCAUAAACUUGGUGCCUAUGAUUAGGGAAAAGUCGUAACAAGGU
This 1282-nucleotide ribosomal RNA is filed under the name metagenome. RNAcentral's name for it is "SSU rRNA". It matches the Rfam family "Eukaryotic small subunit ribosomal RNA", at positions 526 to 1800 of the family's 1831-position model. The record is from RNAcentral.